UGACCCGUCUUGAAACACGGACCGAGGAGUCCGAAGCGCGCGAGUCGAAGGGAGACGCGAAACCCGGAGGCGAACGGAAAGCAGGAUGCGAUCGGUCGGUGCCCGAAAAGAAUUAGUAGUAGUGGGAUCCCGAACGAGUAGCGGGAAGGGCUACCGACGGACGGGCGCACCACCGUCCCGUUCCGUAACGGAUCGUUUGCGUUGGCGAUGGAACGGAGGCGAGUAGCGCGUGCUUCGGUACCCGAAAGAUGGUGAUCUAUGCUCGGGCGGGACGAAGCCAGAGGAAACUCUGGUGGAAGUCCGCAACGUCUCUGACGUGCAAAUCGAUCGUCUGACCUGAGUAUAGGGGCGAGAGACCAAUCGAACCAUCUAGUAGCUGGUUCCUUCCGA
RNAcentral lists this ribosomal RNA (390 nucleotides) under Nautilus pompilius x Nautilus stenomphalus. RNAcentral's name for it is "eukaryotic LSU rRNA". It matches the Rfam family "Eukaryotic large subunit ribosomal RNA", at positions 645 to 964 of the family's 3401-position model. The record is from RNAcentral. Lineage: Eukaryota; Metazoa; Mollusca; Cephalopoda; Nautilida; Nautilidae.